ACAUACUGGGUGUGGGAGAUAAAUGCUCUUCAGGCAGCAGCAGACGAAGAGCUGCAGUUUUACCAGUGCAGGGCAACACUGCAUUAUAUUUGUAUUACUUGAAAAAAAACAUUUUAUUUUUUAUGUUACUGUUCCUUUAAUAUAUGUAUUCACUCUUCCAUAAAUCCGCGCAAUAUCACGCCCCAUUGGUUAUUGUUGUUUUGUUUUUCACAAGGUGUCUAUCUUCUCACUUCCCCUGAAAUCCCUCAUCAAUUGACUCAGACAUUGAGGAAACGUUUCGUAUGAGCGGACUGCGGAAUCCUGUGCAAUUUACACCGCGGGACUCUGACAAUUUAAAAUCGCAUACUCGAUUGCGAGGAUUUUGAAUUGUUUUUUAUUUGCUUAUUAUUAUUAUUUUCUUUCUUGACUAACCGCCUAUGGUUUGGCCGAUCAUUACAAAAAAAACACCACGGGGCUGUAAGGACAUAGCCCUCCCCAAAUUGUUGUUUACUUCUCCUCACAACCUGGCGAUAGUUUCCCGCCCACUGCGAGAGGCGCAAGGAAAGCCAGACAACCCCGGUGACCAAUUACAGCGCGCCAAACGCUCAUCUGGCCCGAAUCUUAGCCAAUAAGCGUAGUCCAAACCCCGCCUUCUUACUACUGGCAGCUUUGCGGCAUAGGGGCGCGUCCCUCCCCCCGCAGCCACCAAUGAGAUAGCUGUUUACAUUCUACAGCGUGAGUAAAAAAACAGGCGGGGUGACAGAAGUAUUAUUAUUAAGCCAGCCCGUUUUCAUGUAGAUUUAGGAAGGGAGCAAGACGAUUGGCUACAUAGCCUGUCAAUGACUUCUCGGAACCUCUUUUUUUUGUUUUCUUCAGUGUUUUAUUGGUAGGCAGCGGAGACUCAGUGUGACGCAUCCGGGCGGGGUCACGUGUUGUUUUCGCCGUGCUGUUUCCCUCCCCCCUCCAGCUACAGUCUGUCUGUAUUGAGUACGCGCGGCAGGAGGAUUCUGUCGUCUCCCCCGGUUUUGUUUGGGAGCAAGGAGUUUCCACCCGGCAAGGAAAAUGAGCGGAAUUAAACACUGACCUCCCGCCGCAUCACGUUUAAUUCAUUGGCAGAGGGAGGAGAAGUAGCGGGUGCCGCAGAGACGAGCAGGCGGUACGGCGCACGCCGGCGGCGGGGUUUCCCAAUCCCUCCAUGGCGGGUGUGCUGUGUCCUACAGAAGAGGACAGAUCCAUUCGCGCAGCCGUGAGGAUGCUCCCCCCGCAGCCGUGUCCAGAUGAGAGCGGCGGAUACAGGCGCAUGUCUGGACCGACGCUGUCGCAGGUACAGGAGGAACCGGCAGCCGAAACCCCGCAGCCGCCGGCACCCGCCUCCACCGCGGAAGAUGAUGUGAGGAAACGCGGCUACCUGCGGAAGCAGAAACACGGACACAAGCGCUACUUCGUGCUGCGGAGCCAAAGCCACCUGGGUCCUGCCCGGCUCGAGUACUACGACAACGAGAAGAAGUUCCGGAGCGGACAGCGGAGCGGCUGCCACCCCAAGAGAGUCAUCCCGCUGUACCUGUGUUUCACAGUCAGUCGUCGGGCUGAUGCCAAGAACAAGCACCUCGUGGCUCUCUACACCAAGGACGAGUACUUCGCUAUGGCGGCAGAGAACGAGCAGGAGCAGGACGGCUGGUACCAGGCCCUCAGCGAGCUCAUCAACGAGAGCAAGGGCGCCUGCCUGGACACCGAGGAGCUGGAGGAGAACUACGGAACUCUCAGGCCGGGCACUGUCUUCAAAGAGGUGUGGCAGGUAAACGUGAAGCCCCGGGGGCUGGGACAGGCUAAGAAUCUGUCGGGGGUCUAUCGCUUGUGUCUGUCCAGCAAGGCGGUGCAUCUGGUGAAGCUGAACUCGGACGUGGCGUGUGUUCAUCUGCUGCUCAUGAACAUCCGCCGCUGCGGCCACUCCGAGAACUACUUUUUCAUUGAGGUGGGCCGCUCCUCCUCCACCGGGGCAGGUGAGCUGUGGAUGCAGGUGGAUGACUGUGUGGUGGCGCAGCACAUGCACGAGACUUUCCUAGACACCAUGAAGGCUCUGAAGGCUUAUUCGGAAUUCAGGCCCCGGAGUAAGAGCCAGUCCUCGGGCACUAAUCCCAUCUCUUUCAUCACCACCAGAAGGUACUUGGGCAACCUGCCCCCCAGUCAGACUGGACUGCAGCAGAGAAGGGCCAGGACUGAGACUGUGGUGGGAACACCCCCCUCUGCUAAAAAUAAUUCUUUUCGUUUUAGAACCUCCAGUGAAGGAGAGGGUACAAUGACCAGGCCUUUCAGGUCUGUGACUGGGAGCCUGAGCCAUUUAAACACUGCACGGAUUAACCUGGGCAAGCAAGAAGGCGUUGGGAGGUAUGUCAGAGCACCUUUUAAUUCCGGCUACCACUCCAGGUCGGCCUCGUUGCCCGUGUCGCAUUUUCCAUCUGCCACCAGCCCUAUAAGCGUGUGUUCUAGCAACGGACACGGCUCUGCCUCUGAAACUCUGACCAGGCCAUCUAGUUCCUCUGUUUGUGGAUCCCCCAGUGAUGGCGGAUUCAUUUCCUCCGACGAGUAUGGUUCCAGCCCUGGGGAUCUAAGAUACUUCCGUGUUCGAAGUAAUACCCCAGAUUCCUUGGGCAAUACACCUCCAAUACAGGAAGAAAAUACAUUAAGUGACUACAUGUCGAUGAGUGCACACAGCCAGCCAGAUUCUAGGGACGAUUAUAUGGAAGCUGAUAAAUGUUUUAGGAAAAGGACAUACUCCCUAACAAAACCCACAAACGCUGCUUCCCAGCAAAAGUCCCAGACUGCUGUUUCAUUGGAUGAGGACUCUGAAGAGACCAACAAACAGUUUGCCUAUGCUGAAUCACCAAAGCUGAAAGACAGUAGCCAUGUCGAGGAUUACAGUAAUGGUGUAAUAGAUUCUGUUUGUAACCAUAGCAGAAGGAAAGCCAGUGAUGAUGGCUACAUGCCAAUGAUGCCUUCUAAUUCAUAUGACAGUGACUACUUGCCCAUGGCCCCGAAAUCAGUGUCUGCGCCAAAACAAAUUAACAGCUGCCCUUCUCAGGUGGAUUCAAAAGGGUAUAUGAUGAUGUUUCCCGUUAAUGGUUCACCUGUCAAAAAUGUAUUUGGAGGGGCUGCUACUAAAAGUAACAUUGAAAAACUGAGCAAUGGAGGCUACAUGGACAUGUCGUACGGGAACUCCAUUAAACAGGUUCAUGACUCUAGUUUAAAUAAUAAUUCUAGGGGAUUGAGUUCCUAUUUUUCGCUACCUAGGAGCUUUAAAAGCUUAACUAAGCAGACCAGUGAUCACAGUGAAUAUGUUCCAAUGUCCUCCCCUGGAAAGCUGCUACAUUUAGGGGCAGAAAAUGGAGUGGAUGCUUGUACUAAUGGAGCAGAUCACAAUGUAGCUAAGACUGAAUUAAAAUCUCCCAGUAGCACACUGGAUCAACAAGUUAAAAGGCCAACUAAACUUAUGCUUGGCAUCAGAGGAAGCAAUACCAUACCACGAAUGUUUGAUCACUCUGCUUCAGCUGAACCUACUAGUCCUGGAGAGUAUAUAAACAUUGACUUCAGUGAUAAAGCAAGUAGUACUCCAUGUUCACUAUCUGCUGAAGGGUCACCUUCCUCUCUGGGGUCAAGCUGCGACCAUCGGCAUUCCCCGCUAUCUGACUACAUGAGCGUGGAUAUUGAUGUACAGUCUCCAAAAGCAACAGCAGAUCUGUGUGACUCUUUAACGGACAUUUCACCGUAUGCAUGCACUGUUGUCUCUAGAAUGCAGCCAAAUGCUGAAUAUGCCAAGCUUCCCUGCGGUACGGCUUGUGUCAGCAAAACGGACAACAGAAUUGAUGAUUACACCACAAUGACUUUUAACAUGGCGAUGACCCCGCCAAGAUCAUUUGCCGGCGAAACAGAAAAUGGUACAAAAGUGGAUAGUCCUUCCUCAAUUGUGAAUCGGUUGUGUAUCGGGGAUUUGACCUCUCUCAACGGGGGAUUUUCUUUACCAAAUCCUUUGCCUGAACCUAUGGCUGGACCUAAAGUUAUCCGUGCAGACUCACAGGGAAGGCGGAGGCACAGUUCUGAAACUUUCUCCUCUGCCAGUACAGUGACCACUUCCUCAUCUUGCUUUACUGAAAGCUCCAAAAGGCACAGCUCAGCCUCAUUUGACAAUGUCUGGCUCAAGUCUGAUGAAAACUGUUGUGAACAAGAGAAUAAAAUGUCCAGAAAUUGCUCGACAGGGUUUCAGAACGGGUUAAACUACAUAGCUCUGAGUAUGCACGAUGGUGUUUGUGAACCAACAUCCCCGGCUUGCCAUCAGCACCAAAACGGAAGUAGAAUUCUGGAAAAUGGGGGUUACGUCAGCAUCGACUUCACAAGGUCUGACUGUCUGAAGUGUCCCUCUUCUAGAAAAGCAGUUGGAUGUCAUAUAUUCAAUGACAGUUAAGCUGGCCAUAGAUGUAAAGAUUUUUGUAAAAGAUCUUUUCGUUAUCGUAAGACCACGGAUACCUGGAAACGAUUUUUUAAGGGGCAGAGACUGAGUGCAUCACCAUGGAAACCACACAGAAGAAAGUGUCACCCCAGCCUCUCCGCUGGAGCGCCGACGACUCAGAAGAAACGCGGGGAGAGAACGCGUGAAGUUGUGCUGAAUUGGAAAUGGAUACCUGCUUUCCCACACAGACUUUACUGUACAGCCAUUUAAAGCUUAUUUUAAUGUGUUGGCAAAGGAAGGUUUUUUUGUUUUGUUUUUUUUAUCAGCAUAAUUAUUUUUUCGAGAGAUGAUAAAUUCUCAUUUGCACAUCUUACAGUUUGUAUACGAGAUCUUGCUGUGCUUCUUAUAGCAGUUCUGUCUAAAACGAGGCAGAAACGGGGACAUGGAAUCCAUUUUAUGGCUCCGUUUCCACUCGUCGAAUCUUUUUAAAAUGGUGCCCGCUUCGGUCCCUCGGGCGGAUAAAAUCUGGGUAACGGAUUUACUCACAGAACAGCAACUGUCAGCUUGUUAACGACCUAUAUAUUCGUUCUACUUUUCUGGUACAGAAGAAAAUAUUAAAUAUGUAAAGUUAAGAAAUAUUUUGAAAGUUUUAAAAAAAAAACAUUUUUUUUUUUUUAAAGUCAAAGUAUAUGUAUUUUACUUGAUCUAUAUUCUGGAAAUAUGCCUCAGAGAAUGAACAAAGAUGCAUUUUUCUAUGGUACGUGACUUGGAAUAUCACAGAGCUUCUGUUUGCGUGAGCCCCGGUCAUUUUCUCCUCUAAGUUAUUCCCAUACGUUCACCCCCCUCGUCUUUUUUUUUUUUUUUUUAUUCCUACGUACAUCCAAUUUUGCAACUUCCCGUGAGCAAAACAAAGACUACAGUAUUAAUUGAUACCUAUAGGCCCUGGUGUAUACAAUCGGGAUAAAUUAAAAGGAUGGAAGGUACUUUCUAACUGUCGAUCCACGACUUUAACGAAAUGUAGCAUUACAUCUAACUGCUCUGAAAGGAAACGGAUUUUAAUAGUGAGGUGGCAUUUGUAUGGAUAUUGAUGGCGUAUGAGGAAUACAAAUGUGGCAGCACAGUUUUAUGUGAAUUGCAAGAACCAUUUAAACAGGUGUUUAUGUUUUUUGGUUAAGGCCUUACACUGAGAAGAACUCUGGCGCUGCAUGAGCUCGGUGACUAGUGAUUAAUGUUUGCCGAUAUUUUUUAUUUUUUAAAGUGUCCUCUACAUCAUUUGGUUCAGUCCUGCUUCUCCCAUGUCAAAGCUUAAUACGGUCACUGUGAAACCAGGAGUAUGCUCUGGCUAUACCCCUUGAAGGCCAGUAUGGAACAAUUCUGACAGUUUUACCACUACACAAAAUGAUUAUGGGAGAGACACUUGACUAGGACUGAUCUGACUGGGGACCAUCAGUACGAAUAGAACGGAUAGAAUUUGGUCGUAUUUGCUGUGAUUAGGGCGACUGGUGAAUUGAAUAUCAGGUUAAGUUACUGAUGGCAGGUCCUGCCUUUCUUACUGAGCAACUUGCAGUACAACAAUUGGCCAUUUUUUUUUCUGUUCCAUAGAAAACAAAGCACCACACCCUUCCACUUCAUCAGCAUUUAAGCUUCAGUAUGAUGUUAGCGGUAUUUUUGUACUAAAAAAAGAAACUUUUAAAUAAGCACUUAAAGGCUCCAUUUAGGUGUGAUCAAUAGAUCCAGAUUGUACAUAUAUGAGAAAAUGUAAAGAACUGAUUUAUGUACCAAAAAAAAAAAAAAAUAUUCAAAAUGUGGAUGCGUUCAAACAGAAUAUACCGAAUGUUUUUUUUCCCCGCAUUAAUUAACUGGCGGUCUGUUGUGGCUCGCUGUAGGUUAUCAACUAUUCUGUCUUCACUUUAACACAAAUUUUUUAAUGGAAUUGAACAGUUGUCUUAAUGCCCCAGACCCAAAAUCUUUGCCCCGCCCCCCCUUCUCCCUCGUGAUCUUGCAGCUGCCAGUUCAGAUCUCAACAACCUCAACCUUAGGUUUAUGUGAGUGUGUUAAAACAGGUACAGCAUAAAAUAUGCAAUCUCUUUAGUUUACAAACAAACAAACAAAAAACUAAUUUAUUCAGUAUUGUGCUGGAAUAUAACUUGGGAGUAUGUAAGCAUAUCACUAGAUAUUAUCUUCCAGCUGCCAGUUUAUGCUGCUGUAUAGUUUAAAAAUUUACCAAUGAUGGAAGAAAUGUUUUUUUUUUUUGUCCUGUAAAUUUAAUUUCAUAUUUGGGAGUUAUUUUGUCUGUACAAAUUAAUAAAAGAAAUGGUUGGUACUGUU
RNA transcript from Xenopus laevis (African clawed frog), 6748 nucleotides. It is a transcript of the gene named insulin receptor substrate 4 L homeolog, with no coding region annotated. NCBI's taxonomy places the organism in Eukaryota, Metazoa, Chordata, Amphibia, Anura, Pipidae. The record is from RefSeq and is marked provisional. The transcript is spliced from 3 exons.